RNA transcript from Lolium rigidum, 2266 nucleotides. It is a transcript of the gene named cell division control protein 2 homolog, with no coding region annotated. NCBI's taxonomy places the organism in Eukaryota, Viridiplantae, Streptophyta, Magnoliopsida, Poales, Poaceae. The record is from RefSeq and is a predicted model, not a curated record. The transcript has 4 exons.
UUAAGCUAUUUUUACCUUUCAUGUUGCAUGAGUAGAAGUAUGAAAGCACAUGUCUUAAAAAAAUCCACUGUUUAUGUGCUUAACAAUUUUCGGUAGCAAAGAUAGAGUUACUUGGGGGGAUUGAUAUAGACUAUGGUGGUGUAUUUUUUUUUGCUAAAGACUAAAGAUCACCUGUGUCAUUUUCACAGCAAUUUUGUGGUUCACUUGAAUUUGUAAUGGAUGUUUUAUGCUCAUCUGAUGGUGUGUAAGGCUGCAAGUCAUUCUCAGGAAAUGCAAGGUACACCUUAGAUAAAAGCUUCCAAGCGCCUCCUAUAUAAGUAGAUAUACUGAGCCUUAUUUUGUUUGCACUUUCUUGACAAAUAUAGUGGUACACAGCCAUAAGGCUUUUGUUGUACUUGCAUAGUACUUCUGCACUCAGUUUUGCCAUAAGUCAUUAUCUGAUGAAGUGUCAAAUGGCUAUUCUUGUGGGAAGCAACCUGUUUUAUACUUCCAUCUCCUCCCUGUUCUUAUGGUCCCCAAGCGGGCUAGACAAUUUAUGGCCUGCCUAUGCAAAUCUUAGGGUUUUUUUUGAGUCAUUGCUGGAAAAAUAACUCAGGUUGCAUGUAAUUAUAUUAAUGGAAGAAGCGGCAUACAAAGUUCAUUUUUCUGCAGAAUCUUGGAAGGUUUCUGAAUUGAAACAACAUGUAGUUCACUAUUAUUGUGACUUUGCGAGUAGUGGUUGAAAAGCAAAGUUGCCACGGCAGCUUGUAUUACGCGCACUUGAUGUUACUUAAAGGAACACACAUGCACACAUAGAUUACUGUUUGAUUUUUAUAAGUCUUUUGUUUCUUUGUUAAGGAUAUGGACAACAAUGAACUUAUUCACUUCUAUUCUACCGUUUUAGAUUCGCCGGAGACGGGAUUCAGUGACCUCAUUUAGCAUAACUUCUCAGAUGCGAAUAACAAGCAGCUCAAUAACAAGCAUUAGAGAGAAGAAGCUCCAGUACAAAAGUCAGAUAGACUUAAGAAUCAGGAAACUGAAGUCUGAUCUGAAGAAGAUAACAGGCUUCCAGGUAUGCUUUGCACUAAGUUGAUUAAAAUUGUAUCCUAGUUUAAUUGUUUCUGGAAGUGGUGUGCUUCUACAGUAAGUUGAUUAAAAUUCUGGAGUAUAUGCAUCAGGGCUUACUAUGCUUGUUAAUUCUGGAGUACAAUAUCUCUGCAACCUUUUUCCUGUUACCUUGCUUCAACAUUUACUUGUUACCUGUUACUAUUCUGAAAUUUAUCUUAGAGAUGUAUUCUGCAACUGGAAAAAUCUGGAAGACAUUGCAGAACAAUACACCUCUGGAAGCCGAGCUCUUCCAGCUCCGCUCGCCGUCCUUUUUCCUGUUACCUUGCUUCAACAUUUACCUCUGGUGUAUUAACUCGGGCUCUCCUUGGAUGCUAUGUGCCAGAAUGGGUAUCUGCACGAGAAGAUCUUCUGGUUGCAUCUUGGUAUGUGAGUAUGUGACUGUUUUCUUCUUUCUCCAGUCAUAUCUCUAUCAGAUACUCCGCGGCGUUGCUUACUGUCAUUCUCAUAGAGUUCUUCAUCGAGAUUUGAAACCUCAGAAUUUAUUGGUAGAUCGGUGUACUAACGCACUGAAGCUUGCAGACUUUGGUUUAGCCAGGGCUUUUGGAAUCCCUGUUCGUACAUUUACUCAAGAGGUAGUAACAUUAUGGUACAAAGCUCCAGAAAUUCUUCUUGGAGCGAGGCAAUAUUCCACACCAGUUGAUGUGUGGUCAGUGGGCUGUAUCUUUGCAGAAAUGGUGAAGCAGAAGCCACUGUUUCCAGGCGAUUCUGAGAUUGAUAAAUUAUUUAAGAUAUUCAGGAUAAAUUACUGGAACUGCUGGGAUUUGGAGUAGAUCCGCAUCUUCUUCUAGAGGAUCAUUGUCUUUUUCGGGUGCUGUACAAUUUAGGCAAACAAUAUUCCUCCUGGGCAUUGGGCUGCGAGUAGGCUGUGAAGAGACACAUGGGAUAGAAGCCACAAGCAAAUGGAAGCCAGUAUGAUGUGUGAUUGUGUUACAGGUCUUGCUUGAUGAACCCUGUUGGUCAGACAAGUAAGAUGGAAGCCAAUUAGAUGAACCAUGUUAGAUGAACCUUGUUGUGUAUUUUAUCUAAUGGUUUCAAACAAUGUUGUUCAUGAUGUGGAGAUGAACACUGUUGGUCAUGGAAGUUAAUUAGAUGCUUGGAUUGUGAAUCCUUGAAUGUUCAAAAUGUUGGUUUCAAACAUUGCUUGACUUCUUGAGUGUGA